CACCGUGGUCUAGCGGUCAGAACGCUGGCCUUGUAAUCCUGGGGUCUCGGGUUCGAUUCCCGGCGGUG
RNAcentral lists this transfer RNA (68 nucleotides) under Zootermopsis nevadensis. It matches the Rfam family "tRNA". From Rfam's summary of the family: Transfer RNA (tRNA) molecules are approximately 80 nucleotides in length. Their secondary structure includes four short double-helical elements and three loops (D, anti-codon, and T loops). Lineage: Eukaryota; Metazoa; Arthropoda; Insecta; Blattodea; Termopsidae. The record is from Rfam by way of RNAcentral.